AAAAAUAUGUAAGUAUGUAAAACAGUGUUCCCGUAAAAAAAUCUAAAACCCGUAUUUCUGAUGCUGGUAACUCGUAAAUCAAGAAGUGACAGGUGGCAACC
This is a long non-coding RNA of Maniola jurtina (meadow brown), 101 nucleotides long. RefSeq lists it as uncharacterized. The record is from RefSeq and is a predicted model, not a curated record. NCBI's taxonomy places the organism in Eukaryota, Metazoa, Arthropoda, Insecta, Lepidoptera, Nymphalidae. The transcript has 3 exons.